Molecule: long non-coding RNA, 247 nt
Filed under: dengue virus type 2
Lineage: Riboviria; Orthornavirae; Kitrinoviricota; Flasuviricetes; Amarillovirales; Flaviviridae
Description: partial sfRNA1
Rfam family: Flavivirus DB element (bases 156-227)
Source: RNAcentral
CAGAAGUCAGGUCGGAUUAAGCCAUAGUACGGAAAAAACUAUGCUACCUGUGAGCCCCGUCCAAGGACGUUAAAAGAAGUCAGGCCACUACAAGUGCCAUAGCUUGAGUAAACUAUGCAGCCUGUAGCUCCACCUGAGAAGGUGUAAAAAAUCUGGGAGGCCACAAACCAUGGAAGCUGUACGCAUGGCGUAGUGGACUAGCGGUUAGAGGAGACCCCUCCCUUACAAAUCGCAGCAGCAAUGGGGG